RNAcentral lists this transfer RNA (72 nucleotides) under Marmota marmota marmota (Alpine marmot). It matches the Rfam family "tRNA". From Rfam's summary of the family: Transfer RNA (tRNA) molecules are approximately 80 nucleotides in length. Their secondary structure includes four short double-helical elements and three loops (D, anti-codon, and T loops). Further hydrogen bonds mediate the characteristic L-shaped molecular structure. tRNAs have two regions of fundamental functional importance: the anti-codon, which is responsible for specific mRNA codon recognition, and the 3' end, to which the tRNAs corresponding amino acid is attached (by aminoacyl-tRNA synthetases). tRNAs cope with the degeneracy of the genetic code in two manners: having more than one tRNA (with a specific anti-codon) for a particular amino acid; and 'wobble' base-pairing, i.e. permitting non-standard base-pairing at the 3rd anti-codon position. The record is from Rfam by way of RNAcentral. RNAcentral also lists the same sequence under 1 other name. Lineage: Eukaryota; Metazoa; Chordata; Mammalia; Rodentia; Sciuridae.
UGGACUUUAGCUCAAUGGCAGAGCAUUUGCCUAGCAUGUGUGGGGCACUGAGUUCAAUCCUCAGAACUGCAU